This 468-nucleotide ribosomal RNA is filed under the name uncultured bacterium. Its description in RNAcentral is "partial 16S ribosomal RNA". It matches the Rfam family "Bacterial small subunit ribosomal RNA", at positions 28 to 507 of the family's 1533-position model. The record is from RNAcentral.
GACGAACGCUGGCGGCGUGCCUAACACAUGCAAGUCGAACGGAACGGCCCUGCUUUUGUGCGGUGCUCGAGUGGCGAACGGGUGAGUAACACGUGAGUAACCUGUCCUUGACUUAGGGAUAACUUCAGGAAACUGGGGCUCUUCCCGGAUAGGAGCUCUUGCUGCAUGGUGGGGGUUGGUUAGUUUCGGCGGUUGGGGAUGGACUCGCGGCUUAUCAGCUUGGUGGUGGGGUAGUGGCUUACCAAGGCUUUGAGGGGUAGCCGGCCUGGGAGGGGGACCGGCCACGUGAGGACGGAGAUACGGCCCAGACUCGAACGGGAGGCAAGGGAGGAGAAGAGAGCACAAGGGGCGGGAGGCAGGUGCGGCAACGCCGCGUGCGGGAUGACGGGCAGGGGGUAGGGAACCACUGUCGCCUGUGACGAGGCGUGAGUGACGGUAAUGGGUGAAGAAGCACCGGCUAACUACGUG